GGAUCUCUGGAAACAAGGUUAUUUUUUGCAGCACCUUUUAAUAUAAGGAUUUUCCUAAGCAGGGUUUGUUUGUGGUGCUUUGCAAGGAGACAAGCUGUCGAGAGAGCUUCCCGUUUGCUCAAAGAAUGCAAAUGUGAAGAUUUUGAAUGUUGUCUCUUACUCCUUAUAGUAAUUAAAGAUGUGUGCUUUCUGUUCAGUCUACUUCACCCAUUUAUUUAUCUUUUGCUAAAGCUUGGUGCUGAAUUUGUUAGAUAAAUAUUUACAUUGCAACAUUCUGUUCUAAAUGAGCGCUGAGUCAAUCUGGUUGAAUUUGCACGCACCCAGUGUUCUGCUCUGGGGCUGUGCUGUCAGGUGAGUGCCUUUGCUUUGGCAGAAAGGACCUAAAAGGGAGUGAGUGGGGAAAAGGGAGCCUUUGCUCAGUUGUGCAAGUUCUUUUGUAUUUUCUCUUGUGAACAUGCAAUUUACUUCCUUAAAAUUGAUGGUGUAAGUUAAACCUCGGAAGAUGUCUUUAAUUUACAGUGAAGAAAAGGGUAAAACCGUAAGUAUGUGUCCCCUCAGUGCUGCUCAGUGUAUUGGGUCUCUUCACGCAGAGUCCCCACCCAAGCAGAAGUUCAGAGCACAUCCAUCCAUAAGGCUCACUCAGUUCAGCACAAGAUCCUAACUUUUGAGCUCAGAGCACCUUGGCAUGGUGGGGUGAAACGGGAUCGCCAGACAGCUCUAGGCUGUGCUGCAUCUUGUGGGUAGGUGACAGACCUUACUCUUGGUCACAAGUCUAGUAGUGUUCACCAAAAUGAAAUUGAUGGGAUUAUGUCUGUAAAGAAGGGCCAGCUCACAGGUGGAGGUUACAAUACCUAGUUCUGAAAGGAUGUGAAUCCAGAGGGCACAGGCAGGCCUGGCGCUGGAGUCUUGCAUCCUCGGAAGGACCAGCUUGUACGUUGCUCCCUUUGUUCGCUGCCUCGUGCUGCUUGUCCUGCUGCACCAGGCUUUGAUGCUGCUCUUCUUUUCACCCAGACUGCACUUCUCACUGACCUCAUCUCUUCAACUGCUUGAUGCCAGGAACUGCCAUGGGAGACCUCAGGACACAAGGCUCUAGCCACUGACAGAUCCUUAGGAAAUCAGAGCUUCCCUGGGAGUGACGCUUCACAGGAAACAAGAUAUCUAAGGGGCCAUGAUGAACUCAGAAGUGUGGCAAUGAACCAAAGCUGCUUCAUGGCGUCAGCUUUCUAAGUGAUACAGAAGGACCAGGACCUACCACCGCCCUCCUGUCUGCGUGGUUUGCAUGACAGAUUUGACAGUCUGGUGGCAAACAACUGCAGACCAACUCACAUGAACUUGUACAAGAAGGUAAAGGACAGAAACACUCGGUAAGAGACCAACCACUGCAUUUCUGACCCCUCACUCCUGACCUUCAAGGAAGGUAUCCGAUGGUGAUUCCAAAGACAAUCUGAGACUAAAAUGCCUGACUCUAAGAUAUAAAAGUCACACAGAUACUGACUGCAUAUUACGUUACAGUUUUUGCUACCACCAGCCAUCCCUAGGCAAUAAAUAUUCCUGUCUUCUGUCUCUCUUGCUCUCUCUUUGUGCCAUAAGUGACAUUAUCAGCUGUCCUCUGGUUAGUAUCCUCCCUUUGAUCAACAGGAACCCAUCACCCCUUCUCACAAAUUGCCUAAUUCAUUAAUACGAUGAAGUUUAACUCAGAACAAUUAUUCUCAACCUGCAUUUAGCUCUAAGGUUAUUGCUUCUAUUUCAGACCUAAGGAAGCCUUAUGUGCCUGAAAGCAUGUGUAGUUUCUCCAAGUACACCAGCUGACCUAAUAAACGGUGUGCCCUCUCCCUGCCCUUGCCUGACUUACGUCUUGCACUGCCCUCACUACAACAUGUCUGCUGCACUGCUGUGCUUGUUCCCAUUCAGCUGAGUCUACAAAUCAAGGCAUAGCCUUGAUGAGCUACUAGGGAGGUACUCUGCUAGCCCAGUUAGUAGGAGCCAAGCUUAGGCAUCACGUGGAGGAGAUGCUCCAUCUGCCAAGCCAUCAUCCCACCUUGUCUGGGAUUGCCUUGCUUGUGGCAUGUUGCUGUGGCCGGUGGGAGAUAAGCAAAGUUGCUGGUGACACUGGAGACCUGUGAGCAAGGCUGCCUUGACGGCCACCUCAGGACGUGUUUGUGGAUGAUGAACUUUCGGAGGUCGGUACGGUUGUCUUUCCUUUUUUGCUUGGUGUCUCUGUGGUUUUAAGAGCGCAGCAUUUGGCAGAGCUUAGCUGCCGGAGCCCAGAUCAGUUAAAUUUAGUGUCUGACCUCAUCUUUACCAAUCAAUCCAUUUUUCAGUGUUCUGAUGUAUGGACUCUCUCUUUCCUUGCUAAGUCUUUGAAAAUCCUAGGUUACCCCUACUGAUUUAUCUUUCCAUUUUCCUUCAAGGUCUUCCUUAAUACUUGCUUUUCCUUCCCAAACCGAGCCACUCUCCCCCUUCUGCUUGUUUGAGGUCUGUGCCUCACCUGUAUAAUUUGCAGUGUAUUAUCCAAUGGAGACUGUAAUCUCUUCAGGGCAGGGCUGUGUCCCUCCCCAGACUCACAGUUGCCUGUUUUAUUUUAUAAGGUUGAAUACGAAGGACAGAGAUACAGGAGUAUACAGGCACUCCCAAGUAAUACCCACUGUGUAUUUUGUGAUCUCUGUGCACAAAACAAAUGCAGGAACAAUUGUUAUUAGUAACAUGGUUUACAUUGUACCACGGGAGCCUUGAGAAGAAGUAGAGGCUUUAGGCAAAGCAGCUUCCUUUACAAAACACUUGUGGAACAUAUUUAUCUAAAAAUACACAUACUUGUGGUAGAGAAUGAUGUUCCUCUGCUGAUCUAUAGUUAAUUGUCAAUGGCAACACGGGACUUUUAAAUCUUGUAAACAAUCCUGCUGUAGUAAUAUCAUCUGCUUUAUCCUUUCCUUCUUUGCAGCAUCCUAAAGCCCUUCCCAGGCUGAUUUCCAUGGCCUCUGUUGCUGUUGAAAGAGUCCUGCUCACUUGGCUCUACCACUGUGCCCACAGAGGCUCAGAAAAGGAAAACGGAUGGGGAGGAGGAUGACCCUGUUCAGCUGCAGCAGAGGUAAGUGUGGGGAGAGCAACCUGAACUGUGCAGGACAGGCGUCUGCCUUCAGCGCUCACUGUAAAUGUUCCUCUGCACAGAGGCGCUGUGGGUAAUAUGCGGUUAAUAGUGCAUUCUCAAGUGCAUUUUGGGCUGAGAUCUCCAAUGAGCUUGGCUUUCUGAUGCCUGCACAAAUGGACUCCACAUACUUAAAUGUCUGCCUGACGGAAUUAGAAAAUGAGUGAUGUGUAAGAGGAGAUGGGGAUGGGGGAGGCUGACUUUGAGACGACUCCAAAAGCCAGACUGGGUAGAGCUAGCAUUUUGACUUUGCCUAUUUUCCAGCCUGGGGGCCAUCCAGCCUGACCUUGCCACUGAAGGCAUUGCUGUGGGGUGGCAACUGGCCCAUUCCCUCUCCUGACACGUGUGUUUCCUCGAACAAAAGGCUCAUUCCAGCUGGGAAUGCUACAGCCGGGCUCUUAACGUUGUCCGGUUCCCAGCUGCUUUUUGGAAAGAGCAACUGUGUUCAAGUGCCCGCCUUUGAGUCACCUCAGUGGGGCACUGUCAUCUUGGAUAGUUCAGUCGUUAUUAUCUUGGAUAGUUCAGGCUUUUGUCAUAUAUAAAAAAGACACCUGUAUUAUUUGCAAGCAGUUAGUCAUCUGCUGGCCACAGUGGGCUUGUUUUCCUUACAGAUGUUUAGGAUCACAUCACUGUUACAGGCAGAGGGGAAAAAUGUCUGUAGAUGUUCGGAUUAGUCACAUAACUGCUGCAGUUAUCUUCAUUCAGAGCCUUUUCUUUCACUCCCAGUUAGAACUCCUGAACUUGAGGGCUGUAUCCAAUCUCCAGCCUUUCCCAUAAUGACAUUUACCUGGGCAGGCUGAAAGACAAAAGGGAGCUCAGGCUUUUAUAACCUUUAGCCAGUUUUUUCUUUACUUGGUUUACUUUUCAUAACCACUUACUAAAUCAUGCAGUGGAGAGUGGGGAAGGAAAGUCUGUGACCUGCUCACCAUGCUUGCCUGCUCCUGGCUUCCAGCAGUGGUUCUGAUUUCUCUGGCCUCCACUCCCCAUCAGCAUGAGAACAGGCCCAUGUGUUAUCGCUGUCCCUGGCGUUGAGGUGGGGAUGGAGCAGAAGAGAGGUGGAGGAGCAGUCAGCCUUCCCCUGUGGAGCCAGGAACGAGGUGAGCCAUGGACUUUGGCACCAUGAAGGUUGGCCUUAUUCUCCUGUGAAAUGCGUGAUCCCUCCCACAGCACAGGGAAAGAGAAAGUAUUAUUUGCUUUCCAUCCAUUCAAUACCCUCUGCUUCAUCAGGAUGUGCUUAAACUGGGGACAACUGCUUUAGGGGAUGUUUUUAAAGGAGCUGAUGCUGAGUGGGACUGAAUGGCAGUGGCUGUCAGUUCAUGUAGAAAGAGGCAUGAAUCCUUCUUUGCUGGGGAUGACUGGAGCUGUGCAGUGCCCACAGCAAAGAUGCGUGACACUCAAUAGUUUCCUAGCAGUUUGGGAUAAGCCAAAGUCAAGACAAAAUGAAGGAAAACUGGAAAUUGGUCUCUAUUACUUGUAACUCUUUGAAGUCCUCUUAGAAGCGGACCCCAAAAGGCCACCAAAAGUCAAUGGAUUUAUCCCGAUGGUCCCUGUGUGGUGCAGUCAGCCCAGGGCGAAGGGUCUGUGCUGGGUGCUUUGCUGCUGCAGGUGUUGUUUGCAUUUCAGAGGUCAGGUUCUGGGAGGCCACUUGCAGAGCAAAUGCCUUUGCUGUGCACGUAGUCCUCAUGAACUGGAAGAACCUGAAGUACUGGUAAAAAGGGGACCCUGCAGCCAGCUCCUGCCAGGAUUCACUCGGGGAUCCUUCCUUCCUUGUCCCUUCCAGAAAUGAACUAACAUUAGCUGGGAGGUGCCUUUCUAACGUGGCAGCUGGCCCACAAGGCUGUGCUGAGGCACGGCUGGGUCUAGGAUGCACUAAAAAUAUAGGUGACAAAUGCAAACAUUGACUUUUGCUGGGGUGGAAGUGUGUCUGCGAGACGUGCCAGCGGGGCGGCCAGUGGUGCUGGGUGCUGUGGGUGCCAGCGGGGACACGUGCUCCGCAUCUUGGUUGCUGUCUGUUGUGUCUUUUAAAGCAGUGAUUUCAAAUUGUAACAGCUUCACACGUUAAAAUUGCAGCUUCUCCCUCAUUGUGUUGUGGUCAAUGUGUUUCAACAGGUAGAGGAGGAAACUGGAAGGGGGGAAAUAAGGAAAGGAAGAAGGAGGAAGGACGUAUGGAAGGGGAAAUGCCUCCACCCCCUCCCUGCUUCGUUUCAUUUUGAGGUUUAAAAGCAAACCUAAGAAUUCAGAAGGAGGUGCCCUGAGCCCCUGCUUGUGGCCAAAGGCAGGGCUCUGCUCCUGGUGCGGCCUCCUUGUGUGCCCGGAGCAGGGGACAGGGCAAGGUGACACAGGCGGGUGCCACGUCAGCAGCCAGCACGCUCCUGCCUGUGGCUGCCAACAAAGGUGGCCAUUGAGAGCCUGCCCUCAGCGACUGUGCUGUGGGAACGGGGCUGAAACCACCGGCGUGGUGCUGUGCAGGCAGCUGAGGAGCCACGUGAGCUCAUCAUCUCCUCCUCUUCCUCCUCCUCCUCUCCAGCACAAGGUCUCCAGGGUGUCUGCGUUGCAGGCUGUGUGGUAGUGAGAGAGCUGGGUGGAAAUGGGCUCCCCCGGGUGAAUGAGCAAUACCCACCCAAGCACCCACAAAGCAAACGAUGUGCUUUUCCCCAGCCCAUUGACUGGGUUUGUCAGUUGAGGAUGCAACAGCAGAAUAAGGGGAAACGGAGCUUUUUAUUCCUCUCCUUGCUAAUUCCAGCCUGUGUGCGGCUCCAGCAGGAAUGAGGGUAUUAUUUUUGUUUCAAGGCAUUUCUGCUCCAGAGCAUAAAGUUACUCAGCAUUUGCAGGACCAGGUCAUGGUGGGUAUUUUUAUGCCGUGUCUAUUUUGCUCUGCCUCAGACUGACCCAUUACUGAUGCUUCCAGUGAGCAGGGGGUGAACACAGACAGUGCUUUGCUUGUACUUUGCAAAUCAAAAGAGUUUUAGUUCUGUUUGCAAAAAUGUAUUCAUGUUCAGAUGUUCUUUGUGCAGAACUGAAAGCACCUGAACCCCUGCCAGGGAAGGUUUGGUGAGCAGAGAGUGUAGGAGCCUGGCUACCCCAUCUUGUAUAAACACACUGGUGUUUUUGGAAGCAGACCUAGAGGAGUUUGCAAAUGCAUUUAUUUAAGCAGCCCAGCUGCUCCUACCAAUAAUGGAUUCACAGGCUAAUUGUGUAUUUACUCAGCUCACAGGCCACUGAGUUUUACAUGUUACAUGAUUUGCACAGAUCGAUGAGUAGCGUAGACAUACAAGCUCACAUCUGGAACACAUGAGCCGUGAAGAAGGGAUUUGCACAGUGACCCAGUUAGCACCUAGCAGCAUCUGGAUCUUCAAAUCUGGUAUUUGUCUUUCUUUUCUUGCAAUGAACUGUUAGAUGCUAUAAGGCAGAUUGCAGCAGUGCCCAUUUCAUAGGGCUGCAUGACUCCUUCAGGAUGCAGCUACCCAAAGAGCGAGGCUUGGGGCUGCUUCACUUCCCUGGCUGGCUAAGAAGGAAAACUCCAUAUGACCAUAGCACAGCUGGAUUGGGGACCUGCCCCACUCCCUGCUUUGUCAGGUGUAAAUCUUCCUGCCAGGGUGGGAGCAGCAAAUCCUCCUUCAAUUUUGGUCUGCUAAAAAACUUCCAUAGCUAAACAAGAGAAACUGAAUCGGCAGGUAACACAUUUAGAAAGGCAUCGUGGGAUGGAUUUAUUCCUGGUGCCCAUGAUAGAGUUGCUGGGUGAUGGUCCUUAUGAGUGGUGAUGGUCCUUAUGAGGCUGGGGGUGGCUGUGGGGCAGGAUUCCUGGCUGGCACACAUUGCUGAGCCACAGAGGCUUUUGCAGGCAAACAAAAGCCAAGCCAAAAAAAAACAUCCCCAAAACCCACUUCCCUCCCAGAACAUCCUCAGUGAGCAAGCAAAGAGCUGCUACCCAAGGGAAAUGCAUCAGAGCAUCCCAUCUCUUUUUAAUGCUCAUGGAGAGUCCCUAGGUGACAACCCUGCUCCUCCUGACCCUCCUGUGAGUCUCAUCAGGAUUGAUGGAGCUCCAAAAACUCCUGCUUUGGAGAUUCUGUGGCUAAGUGAGGCCUUAAACUUCCAUUCACAAAUCAAAGUGAGAAUAACAGUUUAAUGCUGGUGGUGGCAAAGGGACGUGUAAGCCUGGGAUCGCUGACAGGCUCUGCCAUCUGAAGGCAGAUGAAAAGGGUGAUCGCAACACUCAAGAAUUUAUUUAUUUAAAAGCUAUAACAAGGUUCCAAAGUGAUGCUGGGAGAUGGGACUCAUGGUACCUAAAUGCUCCUGUUUGCCAGCACGCUUAGAGUUCGCUGGGACUGAUAGGCCAACAAGUAGGGGUUGCAGAAAGGUGGUUCAGCCCUUCCAGCCUCUACAGCCAAGACCAAGGAUGUUCCACUGGGCAGAGGCACCGAGGGACCACUUGCUCUGUCCCAUCACCCAUCUGUUUGGACUGUAUGCUCCACACAGCUCUGGAAAUGGAUUUGAUUGCCUUAUCACACGCCCUGCUAUGUCUAUUUUUUUCCCCCCGAUAAACCCCAAAAUCUCUCCUGAUAAAUUACUAACCCAACAAGGAUUAAAUCAGUCGAACAGAACCAGUCAUCCUGCUCAUAGCGAGCUGCUUUCCACUUGGAAAAUCUAACUCGUUCAGCCACGUGUGUGUGAAGCAGUUUGAUUAACUGGGGCGAGGCGAAUCUAACCCCAACCGGAGGAUGCUGCGCUUCAAAAGGCGAAGUAACCCAGGAGCAGGAUCGCUGCCUGCGAGGUCCCCAAUCCGUGAUGCCACACGCCACCUCGUGUCGGGCGCAGGGAGUAGCUGGGUGCUCCUGCCCCAAUUUCCAGCCAUCUGACAUCAUUUCAGGGCUGGGGGGGCAGUUUUGCUUGGUUUUCUUUCUUUGCACCCUUUGGGAGCGUGGGGAACCCCUUGGGUCCUCCAUGGUGCUGUUAUUGCACGUUGGGUACCGGUGCUUGAUUUGGCUCAUGUAAUUGAAUUACACGUUGGAUGGAGAACAUGACCCUGCCUGUUUGUGUGGUGAGUCCUGCUAAGGACAGUGGGAUCUCCUCUGCCCCGCUGCUGUGUAUAAUAUCCUGCUUGUACCUUGCUUUCUGUCCAGGCAUGGAGUGACUUGGUCAAGGCCAACCUUGGAGUCAUUACCGGAUGGAGCUUUGUGAUUCCCAAGCACCGUAGACGCAGGACCUGGAAGCGCCUUUUAAAAAGACUCCAGGCUCCAGAUUUGGAAGGAUUUGUGCCUGUGACCGUUGUCCUUCCUGCAGCACCAGCGUGUGCUUGUGGAGACAGAUGGAGAGUCACAUGGGCUGCUCAACUACUGAACCAACAGCCCCCCUUCUGCACUCUCCCAAAUGCCUGAGGACAAGGCCUGAGAAACAAAAGCGGAUGGAAAGUCUUAUCAUAUGGCUGUAGGCAGUAAUCCUUCUUAUUUUCCACAGAAGUAUGUAAAGUAUUAUUUGAAUUCCCUGAGACUAACAGCCUACUCUUGGAGGUGAAACUGCCAAGGAUUUGCAAUUGUUCACAUUGUAGAGGAAAUAAUAGAAUAUCUCAAAAGUAAGGAAAUUCUUGCUCCAAAAAUACUUUUUUUCUAUGGUAUUUAGGAAAACAAACCCAAAACAGCUCAUUAUGGCUUCUCUGUCCUAUUUUAGUCCUAUUUUCAAAUGCAUCAUCGCUCUUGUAGUGAUUUAUUACACCCCAUCUCAGCUACAGUCAGCUCUAAAUUGCAGUUAAUUUUAGCAGAAUUCUCAUCUUCUGUGCAGAAAAGGUAUUUGAUACGUGUGAUCACAGCUGCUGGGCUGUCAUGGAUUAAGGGACCACGAACACUGGUACCAUGUACCCAACGGGGCACACUUCCACCGUGUGUUAAACCCCUACAACACCCCCGAAACCCAGCGGCUUUCUCCGUAAGUGAGAACAAAAUGUUUCUUAAGCUACCAAACCAAAAGCUUCCCCUGAGUCCAGUGUCCUUUCCUUAUUGGGAAAAGGAUGACCUAAUAACGUAACUCUUUCCCCAUUUCCAGCUGCACAUUGCUGGGUUUCAGAAGCAAAGUCAGAAACCAGAAUGGGUAAUGUUUUCAGCUGAGGUUGAGGAGCGUGGCUCUUUAGAGUCCUUGGUGCUCACAGACCACUCACUGCAGGCAAGUAUUUUUAACCAACGACUUCUGGCUUUCAGUUUUUGACCAGUCAAUUAUUAAAACAUCCUUCCCUGCUCCUACUGCUGGGGUUCUGCAAGUGUUUUUAUAUCCAUUGCUGCACCUGGUAGCUGGAACAGAGGAGGCUUAUUUGGGAAUGGUGAAAGUAAAAAGAGCACCUUCAUUCGCAACACAUGGGAUCCAUCUGAGCAAAUGUCUUUGUUUACUUGAUGGCCAGCAUUUUUCUCUAUCAUUAUUUUUUUUCCUCCACUCCUUUUAGCCUUGCAAAACCAACCUGGCUGUGGAGCAUAAACCCAAGGACUUUUUCAGCAUGGUACAUGUUGCUGGAGCUUUGCUGUUGGACAUGAGGUAAGCGGCAGGAUGAGCAGGUAUUUUCAGAUGCCAGCUUGAGCUGGCGGUGCUGACAGGUUGAAAAAUGAAUCUGGGGGUUGUAAGCUAAGCACAUUUUGAGCUGGGAGCAUCACAGAGAACAUCUGCCUGGUCAUUUCAACCGUGCCCCUGUUUUGCACUCCAAGCACGCUUUGUGUUUCAAGUGCAGCAAAGGCUGAUGAUUUACAUGUUAAAUCAAACCAUUUCAUUCAGGAUUCCUCCCAGGAGUAUAAAGCACUGAUGAUGGCCACCAACAACAAAGAGCAUGGUGACACUGCUAAAAUACCAUGGACUGGCCCCAGGGCAUGCUGAGUUCUGGAGUAUCAAAUUCAGACCUUUCUUUUGACAAGAAAGCCAGGAAAAUGAUCAGAGCAAGCGCUGUACCCACAUCAGCAUAAGUGACAGCAGCCACACAGCUCCCCACCUAACUGAUAACUCAUCAAACCUUUGCUAUUUCAUACAGAUCACGGGUCAAUUAAAUACAUGCACUGUCUGCAUCGAGUCCUGCACGGUGCCGGUGCUUUCCCAAUGGGAACAACCCUUCCCAUCGGGUGCAAACAGCCCACCACCAGACCCCAUCGCCCGCACCACGGAGGUAGAACCGUGCAUCACUCACCAGGUCAGCUUCGCACUCUCUCUUGCAAGUGCUCUGCGCGUCC
Molecule: long non-coding RNA, 10338 nt
Organism: Pezoporus occidentalis (night parrot)
Lineage: Eukaryota; Metazoa; Chordata; Aves; Psittaciformes; Psittacidae
Exons: 7
Source: RefSeq, a predicted model, not a curated record